RNAcentral lists this ribosomal RNA (21 nucleotides) under Lilium nanum. Its description in RNAcentral is "partial 26S ribosomal RNA". The record is from RNAcentral. Lineage: Eukaryota; Viridiplantae; Streptophyta; Magnoliopsida; Liliales; Liliaceae.
GACCCCAGGUCAGGCGGGGAC